ACAACUAGAUUUUCCACUUUAGUCCUCUACAAUAAAAAAAAUCUUGAGUUUCAAAGUCCGUUUUUACGUCUAUUUUGCGCAAAACAUCUCCAACUCAAAGCCAAGGGUACUACAAUAGCUGUACCUGAAAAUAAAAUUCAAGCCACAACUAGUAGUAUAGAGUUGCUAAACUGAACUGAAAAUAAAUAAACAUCAUGUUCACUAUACAUACAAAGUCUCUUAGAUA
RNAcentral lists this long non-coding RNA (226 nucleotides) under Ananas comosus (pineapple). Its description in RNAcentral is "long non-coding RNA (ACOM_LNC032630)". The record is from RNAcentral. Lineage: Eukaryota; Viridiplantae; Streptophyta; Magnoliopsida; Poales; Bromeliaceae.